RNAcentral lists this unclassified non-coding RNA (431 nucleotides) under soil metagenome. Its description in RNAcentral is "partial contains 5.8S ribosomal RNA, internal transcribed spacer 2, and large subunit ribosomal RNA". The stretch from base 1 to 116 matches the Rfam family "5.8S ribosomal RNA", at positions 35 to 154 of the family's 154-position model. The record is from RNAcentral.
GAUGAAGAACGCAGCGAAAUGCGAUACGUAAUGUGAAUUGCAAAAUCUCGUGAAUCAUCGAAUCUUUGAACGCAUAUUGCACUCUGUUUCGGCAGAGUAUGCCUGUUUGAGAAUCUAUAGUUUUUCUUAUCAGACGGUGCUUUUCUCUCGGGAAAGUACCCAAUGGUAGAUUUGAGACGUGAAUGCGUAGCAUUCUGUCUUUAAAUAGAUUGCUGCCUAUGAAUGGUGACUUUAGUGUUUGAAUAGGACUUUUGUUCUCGACUGCGCUGAAGAAGCUAUACUUUGGUAGUUCAUAACCUAUAGAAUUGCUAUGAACUUGCUGCAAAACCUUGUUUCGGCAGAGGCUAGUAGUUUGAGCGUAGUAGUUUGAACCAUGGUCUCAAAUCAGGUAGGAAGACCCGCUGAACUUAAGCAUAUCAAUAAGCGGAGGA